GAUGAAGAACGCAGCGAAAUGCGAUAAGUAAUGUGAAUUGCAGAAUUCAGUGAAUCAUCGAAUCUUUGAACGCACAUUGCGCCCUCUGGUAUUCCGGGGGGCAUGCCUGUUCGAGCGUCAUUAUAACCACUCAAGCUCUCGCUUGGUAUUGGGGUUCGCGGUUUCGCGGCCCCUAAAAUCAGUGGCGGUGCCUGUCGGCUCUACGCGUAGUAAUACUUCUCGCGAUUGAGUUCGAUAGGUCUACUUGCCAGUAACCCCCAAUUUUUACAGGUUGACCUCGGAUCAGGUAGGGAUACCCGCUGAACUUAAGAAUAUCAAUAAGCGGAGGA
This 329-nucleotide unclassified non-coding RNA is filed under the name soil metagenome. RNAcentral describes it as "partial contains 5.8S ribosomal RNA, internal transcribed spacer 2, and large subunit ribosomal RNA". The stretch from base 1 to 120 matches the Rfam family "5.8S ribosomal RNA", at positions 35 to 154 of the family's 154-position model. The record is from RNAcentral.